GCUACCCCGUGUGACUUGCCCAGUUAGGAAUUUGGGCAGGUCAUGCCGGGUAGUCAC
RNAcentral lists this microRNA precursor (57 nucleotides) under Pteropus alecto (black flying fox). Its description in RNAcentral is "microRNA pal-mir-9992 precursor". Lineage: Eukaryota; Metazoa; Chordata; Mammalia; Chiroptera; Pteropodidae. The record is from miRBase by way of RNAcentral.